GCCCAGAAGCGGGGGAUAACACCUGGAAACAGAUGCUAAUACCGCAUAACAACUUGGACCGCAUGGUCCGAGUUUGAAAGAUGGCUUCGGCUAUCACUUUUGGAUGGUCCCGCGGCGUAUUAGCUAGAUGGUGGGGUAACGGCUCACCAUGGCAAUGAUACGUAGCCGACCUGAGAGGGUAAUCGGCCACAUUGGGACUGAGACACGGCCCAAACUCCUACGGGAGGCAGCAGUAGGGAAUCUUCCACAAUGGACGAAAGUCUGAUGGAGCAACGCCGCGUGAGUGAAGAAGGGUUUCGGCUCGUAAAACUCUGUUGUUAAAGAAGAACAUAUCUGAGAGUAACUGUUCAGGUAUUGACGGUAUUUAACCAGAAAGCCACGGCUAACUACGUGCCAGCAGCCGCGGUAAUACGUAGGUGGCAAGCGUUGUCCGGAUUUAUUGGGCGUAAAGCGAGCGCAGGCGGUUUUUUAAGUCUGAUGUGAAAGCCUUCGGCUCAACCGAAGAAGUGCAUCGGAAACU
This 520-nucleotide ribosomal RNA is filed under the name Lactiplantibacillus plantarum. RNAcentral describes it as "bacterial SSU rRNA". It matches the Rfam family "Bacterial small subunit ribosomal RNA", at positions 128 to 634 of the family's 1533-position model. The record is from RNAcentral. Lineage: Bacteria; Bacillati; Bacillota; Bacilli; Lactobacillales; Lactobacillaceae.